This 1067-nucleotide long non-coding RNA is filed under the name Amborella trichopoda. Its description in RNAcentral is "long non-coding RNA (ATRI_LNC005062)". Lineage: Eukaryota; Viridiplantae; Streptophyta; Magnoliopsida; Amborellales; Amborellaceae. The record is from RNAcentral.
UUUCGGGUCCAUCGAGGACUGGCGCCCGAAACCCUUGAAACUGUUUCUCAAUGAACCAGUAGAGAAUUGGCGAGAUAUCCCUCGCUUCAAUUGACCUGCGAUCUCCAUUUCUUGAAACCAGAAUCCUCAAGAUAAGAGAGAAGAAAGCUAACCAGAACUGGGGAUAAGCAUUGCAAUGGAGAAUGUGAGAAAACCCUUUUUUGAUGGAGUUCAAGGUUGUGGUACUCAAAAUCCUGACAAACUUUUUUUUCCAAUCAAAAUUGUGGGGUUAGAUCUCUUGUAAGCCCUAACUUUGAUAAGACUUUAGGUUAGGAUAACAGGAUGUCAGUUGAAUCCUGUUCUUUAAUGCAGUUAUAGAUCGAAUCAGUACCAAAAUUGAUUUUGCGAUCACAAUUCACAAAGACCUAACUAAUAGAAAACAAAUUUCACAGAAAACCCCAUUCUGGUUUAAGUUAUCCAAAAAUUUCCUCUAGUUUCAAUCCAGAUUCCAGUUCACCUCAACCAAAGUACCACCUGAUCCAAUUGAGAGCUGUCAAGCAAAUAUCAAAACACUAAUUCCUCUCAAUUUCCACAAUUUCACUACAACAAUAUCUACAAUACCACCUCUUCCAGAUCCAAACAAGAAAUCACCUCAAAUUUUUAGAGAAAAACCGUUCGUAUAUCCAAAUUCUGAUUCAAACCAAAACCACCUCCUCCAAACCAGAAACUAGGCCCAAUCCCUGAGCAUAUCACCCUUUUCAGAAGUCCAAAUCAAGGCCAAACCAUAGAAACCUCAAUCAAGAAGCCUGAUCAAUACACAAGGAUUUGAGCACAAAAGUUUCUCUCUGUGCAUCUGGAACUAGGGUUAGGGCAAUGGAGGAAAGGGGGAUUGCUCAGGAUCCCAGUGAGAGAUCCUUUCCCUCUUCCCAAUGAAAAAAUUAGGGUUAGGCCAUGGAUGGAUAUUAUUAGGUUUUGAAAAUGGAGGAGAGAAAAUGGUGGGAAAGGAGUAGGAGUAAUUUGUGGUUGAAACUGUGUUUUGCAUUGAAAAUACCAAGUGGGAUUUUUUUAUUGGUAACAUUAAAUGAUUG